RNAcentral lists this ribosomal RNA (465 nucleotides) under Vreelandella stevensii. Its description in RNAcentral is "partial 16S ribosomal RNA". It matches the Rfam family "Bacterial small subunit ribosomal RNA", at positions 338 to 795 of the family's 1533-position model. The record is from RNAcentral. Lineage: Bacteria; Pseudomonadati; Pseudomonadota; Gammaproteobacteria; Oceanospirillales; Halomonadaceae.
CCUACGAGAGGCAGCAGUGGGGAAUAUUGGACAAUGGGCGAAAGCCUGAUCCAGCCAUGCCGCGUGUGUGAAGAAGGCCUUCGGGUUGUAAAGCACUUUCAGUGGGGAAGAAAGCCUUGGGGCUAAUACCCUCGAGGAAGGACAUCACCCACAGAAGAAGCACCGGCUAACUCCGUGCCAGCAGCCGCGGUAAUACGGAGGGUGCGAGCGUUAAUCGGAAUUACUGGGCGUAAAGCGCGCGUAGGCGGUCUGAUAAGCCGGUUGUGAAAGCCCCGGGCUCAACCUGGGAACGGCAUCCGGAACUGUCAGGCUAGAGUGCAGGAGAGGAAGGUAGAAUUCCCGGUGUAGCGGUGAAAUGCGUAGAGAUCGGGAGGAAUACCAGUGGCGAAGGCGGCCUUCUGGACUGACACUGACGCUGAGGUGCGAAAGCGUGGGUAGCAAACAGGAUUAGAUACCCCAGUAGUC